GCGGGGCGGGGACCCCCGGCGGCCGCCCCUAGCCCGGGCCCGCGUGGCCAGCCCUGCAUCCCCGCCGCCCGCCCCGCCGCGCGGGGGACUCGGGCCCACGGGCGAAUUUCCUGGUGCCCGCGGGAGGCGUGGAAAAGGCAGGAGCGCGGCCGGCGGCGGCCCUCCCGCCGCCACUCCCGCCCGGGGACCCCGGAGCCCGGGGGUGGGGGUGGGGGGGCCGCCCUCGAACCCCAGCCGCGCGCCGUUGGGGCGGCGCGCACCUGCCCAGCCCCGUGUUUGUAAACAAACCGCGCGCCUAAUUAGCUCGGCGGGGGCGCGCGCGAAGGGCGGGGGCGGGGCUUCGGCGCGCGCGCGCGCGCGCGCAGGGGCGGCCCCGCCCGGGGAGGAGCCGCGCUCGGCCGCGCCCCCUCCGUCUACCCUUCUCCGCCUGGGCCCGCCGCCCAGCUCGCGUCCCCCUGGCGCGGGGGUCGAGAGCCCAAUGCCGCUGGCGUGCGAGAAGGCGCCGAACCGCCGGAGCUGGCAGGGAGCAGGGGGUGUUCACGGCUCUGCCCAAAGCCCUGGUCGGUCCGCCAGCCUCAGUUUCCCCAUCUGCGCCGGGAGGAGCAGGAAUGAGCUAAAGGUCCCCAUCCUGAGAUUCCAGGAGUGGGCCACAAAGGUACCGCAGGGCACGAGCGGCCGUGGAGCUGACCUGCUCCUGGGGACGCACAGACUAUCAUAAAAACAAUCAUGGUAAUAGAACGGAGACGGGCUGGCCCGGGAAGUGCUGCGGUUUCUGGUCUCCUGGAAUCCUCGCUCAAGGUGGAGGUGCCCCUGGCAUUACAAGGCCACGGUGACAACCCCUCUUGGCUUUGCCACCUGCAGGAAAGCUAUCUGUGUUGACGUCCUGUGACAUCAUGGCCCUGUCUGUAUUCCCUCCUCCUAUCCCCUGCCUCUGAGGAGGAAUCCCGAGAUGACGAGAUAAGUAUGUUCAGAAUGAUUGAAAAUGUAAAAUAAGUAAUAAAAAAAAAAAGGCUAACAAAAAUUUUGAAAUUUUGAAAAAAAAAAUCUUAGAAGUUCUAGAAAUCAAAAAUACAGGCUAAAAAAUAAAACACAAAAAACAAAAAUACAGGCUACAUGGAAAUUUAAACCUCAGAGGAAGGGAUACAGAGUGGCUUAGACACUGUCGAAGAGAUAAUUAGUUAGAGGAACAAAGAGGUGGAAAAUAUGAAAAUUGGAAAAUUCAUUUAAAAAACAGGAAAGGGGUGUUAUGUCAUCCUUCUAAUAGGAACUCCAGAUAGACAGAAUUAAGAAUUAAAGGGGAGAAGAAAGAUUUGUACAGAUAAUAGAUGAAACUUGAACAAAAUAGAUGGAGGAAAUGAAUCCUUCAAGCCCAAGUAGGAUAAACGAGUCAGUGCACCCCUAAAUGUAUCACAGAGGAACAAAAGCCAUCAGAGAAAAUGAGAUCUGACUGGCAAUCGGCUGAGAUAAAGUCAGCAAAAAUGGCAGAGCAGAGGACUUCAAGGGCCCAUAACUCUGCAGAAACAGCAAAUAAACUGGCAAAAACUGUCAGAAUAUACUUUAUCUGAACUCUGGAAACUAGUCAAAGGUUUACAUAAACUGGAAAAACAAUCAAGGAAGAGGCAGUUUAAUGUCCGCGUUGCAUGAAAUUUCCAUUGAAUAACUAGCUGACCACUGAGCUAAUCAAGCAGACACUUUGCUGGCCACACGCACAACGCAGAAUACUGGAUUUACAAAGUUAGUUCAGAAAAAUCAAGCAACAGCAGCCAUCAGCAGCAAACCCUAGGGAGGGAGGAGAAUCUGACUUCCAGAGCUGCCACGUUAUAAUACUCAAAAUGUCCAAUUUCCAACAACAACAACAACAAAAUGUGAGGCAUGCAAACAAGCAAGAAAGUGUAGCCAGCACACUGGGAAAGAAAUUAAUAGAAACGGUCCCUCGGGAAGCCCAAAUGUUAGAUUUCCUGGAUAA
Neofelis nebulosa (Clouded leopard) is the source of this 1966-nucleotide long non-coding RNA. RefSeq lists it as uncharacterized. The transcript is spliced from 3 exons. Lineage: Eukaryota; Metazoa; Chordata; Mammalia; Carnivora; Felidae. The record is from RefSeq and is a predicted model, not a curated record.